Molecule: ribosomal RNA, 535 nt
Filed under: Poicephalus robustus robustus
Lineage: Eukaryota; Metazoa; Chordata; Aves; Psittaciformes; Psittacidae
Description: partial 16S ribosomal RNA
Rfam family: Bacterial large subunit ribosomal RNA
Source: RNAcentral
AGUGACACCACGUUCAACGGCGGCGGUAUCCUAACCGUGCAAGGGUAGCGCAAUCAAUUGUCCCAUAAAUAGAGACUUGUAUGAAUGGUUCAACGAGGCCCUAACUGUCUCCUGCUGAUAAUCAGUGAAGCUGAUCCCCCUGUACAAAAGCAGGGAUAGCCACAUAAGACAAGAAGACCCUGUGGAACUUCAAAAUCUGUAGGCACUAACAAACCACCCCUAAACCUACCAGGCUCACCGCCCAAAACAGCUGGCUAACAUUUUUAGGUUGGGGCGAGCUUGGAGAAAAACAAACCCUCCAAAAAUAAGGCCAGAUCCCCUAACUAAGAGCAACCCCUCAACGUGCCAACAGUACCCAGACCCAAUAAAAUUGACCAAUGAACCAAGCUACCCCAGGGAUAACAGCGCAAUCUCCUUCAAGAGCCCCUAUCGACAAGGAGGUUUACGAGCUCGAUGUUGGAUCAGGACAUCCUAGUGGUGCAGCCGCUACUAAGGGUUCGUUUGUUCAACGAUUAAAAGUCCUACGUGAUCUGAG